This 253-nucleotide ribosomal RNA is filed under the name uncultured bacterium. RNAcentral describes it as "partial 16S ribosomal RNA". It matches the Rfam family "Bacterial small subunit ribosomal RNA", at positions 524 to 776 of the family's 1533-position model. The record is from RNAcentral.
GACGAACUGUCCUAACGUUGUUCGGAAUCACUGGGCUUAAAGGGCGCGUAGGCGGUCGAACAAGUCAGGGGUGAAAUCCUGCAGCUUAACUGUAGAAGUGCCUCUGAUACUGUUCGUCUGGAGGGAGAUAGGGGUGUGUGGAACUUCCGGUGGAGCGGUGAAAUGCGUUGAGAUCGGAAGGAACGCCCGUGGCGAAAGCGAGGUCCUGGACGCCAUCUGACGCUGAGACGCGAAAGCCAGGGGAGCGAACGGG